RNAcentral lists this ribosomal RNA (252 nucleotides) under uncultured Paenibacillus sp. RNAcentral describes it as "partial 16S ribosomal RNA". It matches the Rfam family "Bacterial small subunit ribosomal RNA", at positions 524 to 776 of the family's 1533-position model. The record is from RNAcentral. Lineage: Bacteria; Bacillati; Bacillota; Bacilli; Caryophanales; Paenibacillaceae.
UACGUAGGGGGCAAGCGUUGUCCGGAAUUAUUGGGCGUAAAGCGCGCGCAGGCGGUCAUGUAAGUCUGGUGUCUAAACCCGAGGCUCAACUUCGGGGUGCACCGGAAACUGUGUGACUGGAGUGCAGAAGAGGAGAGUGGAAUUCCACGUGUAGCGGUGAAAUGCGUAGAGAUGUGGAGGAACACCAGUGGCGAAGGCGACUCUCUGGUCUGUAACUGACGCUGAGGCGCGAAAGCGUGGGGAGCAAACAGG